Molecule: long non-coding RNA, 942 nt
Organism: Eucalyptus grandis
Lineage: Eukaryota; Viridiplantae; Streptophyta; Magnoliopsida; Myrtales; Myrtaceae
Exons: 3
Source: RefSeq, a predicted model, not a curated record
CUGUCUCCAUUCAGAUUUCUUCCCUCGCAUUAUCUUCAUGGUCUAGAACCGCAGAACCAGAUAAACCAGAUAAAAAAGACGAGCCUCUUCGGCUCGGAGGCUUCAAUCCUCGAGCUCACGCUCUCUCCGGUCGCCGCCGCUACCCGGCGAUAGCAGCAGGCUCGACACUCCUGUACUUGUUCCUACUUCAUCGCUUUGAGAGCUGAUCGUCCUUCGGAGGGUGAAGUUGGUGUCUUGCGCUUGAACUGUGCGUUUUGGCUUUAUUUACAAUGUGAAAUGGCCCAUAACGAAAGAGAUGAAGAACCGAUACUGUCGGAAACGCAACAGCAAUUAUCAGAUGAUCAUAACAGUUCUCAACCUCGGUCACGUAUAUCUAGGACCCGGAGUGUGUCAAUUUCCAUCCCUACGAGCUCCAUGGAGUCAUACGAGAGUAUAACGAGUCGAGUAGGUUACACUGGACCUUUAAGGAGUAGGACACCUUUCUCGCUAAUGAGUGGCCCGUUACACAAUCACGGACCUGGCAGCACGGGAGUGGAGCCGCAACAAAUGAAAGAAAAAUUCCCUUCUUUUAGCAUAAAGGAUCGUAUUGACUCCGCAGAUGACGACUAUGGUGCUAAAAUGAGCAUUUACUGAGGUCCGGGCGACUGGGGAUGUGCAAUGACCGUUACUGUACAACUUGCCCCUCGCAUUACAAUAGAAGGGCGCAACAAACAAGUUCUGAAAGUUCAAGUAUCGCUGAUACCCGGGUGAUAACUCUAUCUCUAAGCACUAAGCAUAACUUUCUAAUUAGUGUGGGACUUGGAGUUCUGGUGACGAUGGUAUCAAAAGGUACAACAACGAAGAUCUGAGAUUAACUUCACCAGUAUAUCAAAGAUGCUUUUGUUUUGAGCACAUCUUUUAUGCACCAUGCCUUAUCCAGUAGGAUAUCUGAAUUUACUUCUU